Molecule: unclassified non-coding RNA, 291 nt
Filed under: plant metagenome
Description: partial contains small subunit ribosomal RNA, internal transcribed spacer 1, and 5.8S ribosomal RNA
Source: RNAcentral
UCUCCGUAGGUGAACCUGCGGAAGGAUCAUUGAAUCGAUCGAACCCACACCGUGAACCUGCUCGUACCCCCCAUGUGUGGGGUCAAUUUUGGCUUCGCCUGGGCGCCCGGGGUAACGCAGAAGAACCUCGUGUUUUUCUGUGCCGGGCGGGCGAGGGACGCUUCUGCGCCCCUCGUCGGCCUUUACAUUUUCCACACCAAACCCCAAACACUUCUGAAGCUUGAAAUCGGCGCCGCAUGUCGGCACCGACCAAACCUGAGACAACUCUCAACAACGGAUAUCUUGGCUCCC